This is an RNA transcript of Quercus lobata, 2637 nucleotides long. It is a transcript of the gene named COP9 signalosome complex subunit 3-like, with no coding region annotated. The record is from RefSeq and is a predicted model, not a curated record. Lineage: Eukaryota; Viridiplantae; Streptophyta; Magnoliopsida; Fagales; Fagaceae. The transcript has 5 exons.
UCUCUGAUUGAUUUCUCAGCCGCCUCUCUCACCUCAGUGACUCAGUCCUCAGUCCUACAGUGAGCUUGUAUUAAUACAAGCUCACUGUAGCCUGAAUUGUAUUAAUACAAGCUCACUGUAGCCUGAAUUGUAAAAAAAAAAAAAAGUUUUUUAUUCUCACGACUCUCUCUCCGAACUCAGUUCUCUCCUCUUUCCUCUCUCUGUUCUCUCUCCCGAUGGAUGUGAUCCGGCGAUGGUUCUGGUUCGGCAAUGGUGGUCCGAUAGUCAUGGGUCCGAUGUGGUCUGAUGGUCUCCCUCUGUUCUCUGUUCUUUGUUCUCUCUUCGUGGGUCGGAGUGUGGGUUUUUGGUUUGGAGUGUGGAUCGAAGUAGUCGUGAGCGUGGAUCGAAGGGGGGGUCUGAUUGUUCGUGGGUCAUCCUCCGCCGGGUUCCACUCCUUUAAUCGAAGAUUUCUCUCUCUCUUCACUCCGGUGAUCGCUGCCUCCUUGUUGGAUCCACUGGCGCUGUGCAUAUUUGUGGUGAAAGAGAGGCUUGCACAUCUGCUCCAGUUUCAGAAGAGCAAGCAACUACAUUGGUCCCCUAGAUUGACAGAUUUAUUAGUUUUUGUGCUUCAGAGCAAAUUUGUUUGGACCCUGAAAAAUGUUUGCAUCUUUACUCUGCAAGUGAAUUGAAUUUGAUGGGCACUAAAAUCAUUAAAUCACUCACAUUACACAUAUUGAUGUUAUUAGUUGUCGGGGUUUCGGUCAUAUCUGUUUAUAUGAGGUUCAAGGAGCUGGUCAUUAUACUUGGAACGCCAAUGCAUGUGCAUGUGGAUCUGUUUCUGGCAGCUGUUUGGAAACUUCAGAAUUCGUCAGAACAUUUGACUACUUUGCAUCCACAUUUUCUUCACAUUUCUUUAUUGGUAAAUUGUUCCAAAACUGGCCAAUCAAAUUUGGAGGAAGAUAUCUCUGAGGUUGAUCAUCUGGACGACCUUUUCCUCUACUGUUAUUAUGGCAUAUAUUUCAGGUUGUUACUGCUCCAAUGUCAACUCUAAAUUUCAUAGCUGUUGAAGCUUAAAAAAAAUACAUAUUGGUUUCUCUCAUUCACCAUGGGCAAGUAUGCUUCUUUUUUUUUACCCUUAUAUUGAUGGGGCUGAAGAGAAGGCUAUUAAAGAAAUAGAGGCAAAUAAUUCACAGUCUGGGUACAAUUUUUGGGCAACUAAAUUGCUGUCACUCUUUGAGACUAAUCAAAUUACUUAUUCUUUUUUUGGUGGCAAUUCUCUACCAGUCUUCCUAAGUACACUUCUUCAGCUGCUUGGAGAAAUCUAAAGAGCUUCUGUCAGCCCUACAUUGAAUUGGCGAAUAGUUAUAGCACUGGGGAAAUUGCAGAAUUAGAGGCGAACAUCCAGACAAACAAGGAGAAUUUUAAAAGAGACCAAAAUCUUGGACCGGUGGAGCUGGCUGUACCUAGCAAAGGUUAGUCUAUCACUUCGUUAGUUGAACUUGUUCAUAAAAUAUUAAUCAUUUGGCACUAGUUACUUCGUUAUGUAUUAUCUUGUUUUAACCUUGUUAAUUACUUUUGCAGGUUAUAAAUUGUUAAUAUUUUGUUUUAAAAUAUUUCGUUUUAUUUAUUAGUUUAACAGAGACCAAAUUAGUGAAUUGUCUGAACUUGUCCUCUCUUGCAUUUUAUCAAAGCUAACAAUGAAAGAUGUGGUUAAAAUUGGCAUACAAUCAAGGAGAUGGGUGAAUAUUCGGUUAUUGAGGAUUGAUCUAAAUUUUGAUGUUCCUAAUAUGUUCCAUAGCAUUUGCUUAAAUUCAGCUAUUUUCAAUUUGUGUCGGGAAAUAACAAAAAUUGGGAAAGUUCCUAUUUGACAAUGAAAUGUUAAGCAUACUACUGUCAAGAAUUGAUCUACUCGGCACAGUAUUUCAUGCCUAAUCCUAGUGAAGAUGUUUGACACUUCAAAUGGGGGUUUUUCAUGAUUUUUGUUGUUUCCAAAUACAAAUGGAAAAUAGUUGAAUUUAGGCAUUUUAUUGAUAUUAUGGAACAUGUUGAGAAAAUCAAAAUUCAGAUCAGUCCUCAGUAACCGAAUAUUCACCUAUCUCCUUGAUUGUAUGCCGAUUUUGACCACAUCUUUCAUUGUUAGCUUUGAUAAAAUGCAAGAGAGGACAAGUUCAGGCAAUUCACUAAUUUGGUCCAUGUUAAACUGAUAAAUAAAACAAAAUAUUUUAGCAAGAAACUUUAACAAUUUAUAGCCUGUAAAAGUAAUUAACAAGGUUAAAACAAGAUAAUCCAUAAAGAAGUGAUUAAUAUUUUAUGAACAAGUUCAGCUUACAUCUAGACAAAUCGAAGUGAUAGGCUAGCCUUUGCUAGGUACAUGAGAUUUGUGGGGGAGAGGCUUCCUUGGCAGUGACAUUAUCCUGGAACAUAAAUACGUAUAAGAGGCUUUGUAAAAUAAUAGAUACCAACAGUAGAAGACUGAAAUUUUUACACCAGAGGAAAGAGAAAAACAGGGACCGAUAUUCUGUUUAAUCACCAUGAACAAUGCUUUAAUAUUCAAAUUUUGAUAUCACUAAAAAGGUUAUUGCAAGAAAUGGAAAAGUAGCAAAUAGUGGUAAAAUAUGGGCUUUGCUCCUUAGCUCCCAUGCGGUUACAACUUAAAAA